CGAAACGGGGAAGUCACUCCCUCUCUCCUCCCUCCGCCAAGGUCUGAACUCCAGCGUUUCUGCCUGCGUGUGUCGCUGCCGGCCGGAUUCAAGGCUUUGCAGCUGAGAUUCGACGGGCGGGUGGUACUGGUCACCGGCGUGGGGUGAAUGAUUUAGGAGGGGUCCACAGGGGAAUUGGUCAAGGCUCUUCAGCUGCUGAUAAAGUUGUUGCAGAAAUAAGAAGAAAAGGCGGAAAAGCGGUAGCCAACUAUGAUUCAGUGGAAGCAGGAGAGAAGAUUGGGAAGAGAGCCCUGGAUGCUUCUGAGAGAAUAGGUGAUGUUUCUAUGCAUUUAUGGCACUAACAGAAGCUUCUCCCUUCCUAAUAAAAUAUUUUUUAUUUUACUUUUAUUAAAAACUCCCUCUUUCUUGAUAAUGAAGUUUUUAGAUUUGUUUUAUAAAUUAAGUAGUUUACAUACCCUACCUUAUUCCACAGAGGGUUCGAGAUGACAGUUUUUAGG
This is a long non-coding RNA of Manis pentadactyla (Chinese pangolin), 497 nucleotides long. RefSeq lists it as uncharacterized. The record is from RefSeq and is a predicted model, not a curated record. The transcript has 3 exons. Lineage: Eukaryota; Metazoa; Chordata; Mammalia; Pholidota; Manidae.